GACGAACGCUGGCGGCGUGCUAAACACAUGCAAGUCGAACGGAAAGGCCCUGCUUUUGUGGGGUGCUCGAGUGGCGAACGGGUGAGUAGCACGUGAGUAACCUGCCCUUGACUUUGGGAUAACUUCAGGAAACUGGGGCUAAUACCGGAUAGGAGCUCCUGCUGCAUGGUGGGGGUUGGAAAGUUUCGGCGGUUGGGGAUGGACUCGCGGCUUAUCAGCUUGUUGGUGGGGUAGUGGCUUACCAAGGCUUUGACGGGUAGCCGGCCUGAGAGGGUGACCGGCCACAUUGGGACUGAGAUACGGCCCAGACUCCUACGGGAGGCAGCAGUGGGGAAUAUUGCACAAUGGGCGGAAGCCUGAUGCAGCAACGCCGCGUGCGGGAUGACGGCCUUCGGGUUGUAAACCGCUUUCGCCUGUGACGAAGCGUGAGUGACGGUAAUGGGUAAAGAAGCACCGGCUAACUACGUG
RNAcentral lists this ribosomal RNA (468 nucleotides) under uncultured bacterium. RNAcentral describes it as "partial 16S ribosomal RNA". It matches the Rfam family "Bacterial small subunit ribosomal RNA", at positions 28 to 507 of the family's 1533-position model. The record is from RNAcentral.